GCNNGUCGAGCGAAUGGNNUAAGAGCCUGCUCUUAUGAAGUUAGCGGCGGACGGGUGAGUAACACGUGGGUAACCUGCCCAUAAGACUGGGAUAACUCCGGGAAACCGGGGCUAAUACCGGAUAACAUUUUGAACUGCAUGGUUCGAAAUUGAAAGGCGGCUUCGGCUGUCACUUAUGGAUGGACCCGCGUCGCAUUAGCUAGUUGGUGAGGUAACGGCUCACCAAGGCAACGAUGCGUAGCCGACCUGAGAGGGUGAUCGGCCACACUGGGACUGAGACACGGCCCAGACUCCUACGGGAGGCAGCAGUAGGGAAUCUUCCGCAAUGGACGAAAGUCUGACGGAGCAACGCCGCGUGAGUGAUGAAGGCUUUCGGGUCGUAAAACUCUGUUGUUAGGGAAGAACAAGUGCUAGUUGAAUAAGCUGGCACCUUGACGGUACCUAACCAGAAAGCCACGGCUAACUACGUGCCAGCAGCCGCGGUAAUACGUAGGUGGCAAGCGUUAUCCGGAAUUAUUGGGCGUAAAGCGCGCGCAGGUGGUUUCUUAAGUCUGAUGUGAAAGCCCACGGCUCAACCGUGGAGGGUCAUUGGAAACUGGGAGACUUGAGUGCAGAANANGAAAGUGGAAUUCCAUGUGUAGCGGUGAAAUGCGUAGAGAUAUGGAGGAACACCAGUGGCGAANGCGACUUUCUGGUCUGUAACUGACACUGANGCGCGAAAGCGUGGGGAGCAAACANNAUUAGAUACCCUGGUAGUCCACGCCGUAAACNAUGAGUGCUAAGUGUUAGAGGGUUUCC
RNAcentral lists this ribosomal RNA (798 nucleotides) under uncultured bacterium. Its description in RNAcentral is "bacterial SSU rRNA". It matches the Rfam family "Bacterial small subunit ribosomal RNA", at positions 57 to 835 of the family's 1533-position model. The record is from RNAcentral.